UUACUAAUAUGCAUCUUUCUUCUGUUUGGAAUGUGUUCCCUUUUGUUGUUUGUGCAGAGAAUUGAUCCGCCCACUAGGAAACCAAAAUGUUUUAGUGCUUAAUAUUGUCAAUGAUGUGACUUUCUGACUAUUGAAUGUGACUUUCUGACCAUUGAUUGUUUACAUACCAGCUGACGGCCAACGUCCAAUCAACAUAUGCUGCUACAAAUGUGUGCUCCAGAUGGGGUACUUUUGCAAGACCUCUCAGUGCAAAGCCAACUGGAAAUGAGGUUAUUGGAAUUCUGAGUGGGUGUUGUGGUAGGUACUGGUGCAGGCCGGGAGCGCCAAGGCGAUGGCAUUUGAUGAGACCAACCUUGGUGCUUGCUGCUGACAUGUGGAGGAGAAAGCCACAGGAAUCACCAUCUCAAUGGUCCGGCCUUAGUGCUUGCUGCUGACAUUUUGCUGCUAUUGUUCUGCUAGACAUGUUGCACUACCUGAGCUUGUGUACUAGAAGAAAGCACCCAAGUUUUCUGUCUGAUUGAGUGCUUAGCGCGUGGAUUUGCUUAUGACAACCAACUGGAUUUGUUAGAUAUAUCCAAGUGAGAUGUACUGCUACUAUGGGAGUGAAUUUUAUCUAUGUGAGAUUAGAAAUUGUGUGCCA
Triticum urartu is the source of this 640-nucleotide non-coding RNA. The record is from RefSeq and is a predicted model, not a curated record. NCBI's taxonomy places the organism in Eukaryota, Viridiplantae, Streptophyta, Magnoliopsida, Poales, Poaceae.